UGUGAAGAUAGCCAAUCUGCCUAUAUUUC
This 29-nucleotide non-coding RNA is filed under the name Rattus norvegicus (Norway rat). The record is from RNAcentral. Lineage: Eukaryota; Metazoa; Chordata; Mammalia; Rodentia; Muridae.